Molecule: long non-coding RNA, 4007 nt
Organism: Salvia splendens (bonfire salvia)
Lineage: Eukaryota; Viridiplantae; Streptophyta; Magnoliopsida; Lamiales; Lamiaceae
Exons: 8
Source: RefSeq, a predicted model, not a curated record
UUUACUUUCCCCAAAUCAUAGAUCCCCAAAUGAAGGAACCAAUUCCCGUCGGCACCCUUCCGCCUUUCUCACGCCGGCGACUACACUCCAUCACCGGUCAGAUUUCUCCCCAAACAAUUCGACGCAGCCUCCGUUCGGUCGAUUAAAGCCAUUUUGAAUUCCUCCCAAAUUUCAAUUCCGCCUGACCGCUACUGCCGUCGGUCAACAGCAGCCGGCACCGACUCUCCUUUGCGCACACACUCGCUGGACUCGCUUGCAGACAGCGGCCUCCGUCGCUUCGGAGUCGCUCCCUCCGUUCCAGUUGCACUCUCCUCGGUCUGGAAUCGCCGACGUCGCGCACACCAGCCGCCGCGUCGCAAGGCUGUCAUGUCGUCAGUCCAUCCGUCAGAUAUCAGGUGCCGCCGAGCGGUUGGAGGCACUCGAGAAUCCACCGAGCAGUCACUGCCGUCGGGGUCUCACUUCGGUCUCCAGCCAUAUCGGCUGCAUUGUCACAGUCAAUUUCGUCGGACUGCCGUGGACUUCUCGGCUUAGGUUGACUUGGAAAAAUUUGCAAGGAAUCUUCCCCUUCACCUUAUUGCAGUGAUUAUGGUUUGGGAAAGGGAAAAAUCCACGUUCAAGUAUUUUCCAUGUGGAAUCCUUCUCUUACAUUCUAUGUGUGAUCUUGCCUCUCGGGUGCCCAAAAUUGAACAGAUAUGUACUUACUACUUCGUAUCCAGGAAUCUCACACCAUUCCCAAUGACAUGGUUCUUCUUCAUGCGGCUCUCGUAGCUUGCAGUCUACAAUUGUUGACAGUCAUUGUUUCUCCACAUUACCAAGAGGUUGCUCAAGUAUUGACUGUGUAUUACAAGGUGUACAUAUUCAAAGAGGCAGCAUUUGCUGCUGUUUGUGUAGUGUCAAGUAUCUGCAGACCAACGAUUCAUCUAGAAGUGCAUCCCCUACUACUGAAGAGACCUUGAAUCAUCUCCGGCAGCAGUGUGAUUCUUCUCUUCAAUUUCUACAGCCCCUGAGUCAGCAAAAGUUGUUCCGGGAAUGCAUUGUUAACAACCAGGUUAUUUAUAAGUCAAUUUGAGUCCCGAAUCGUUCGUUCUGCAUCGGAAGAUCAUUUAGUCCAUGUAAAACCUCUCUGGCUUAACCUAGCUUAACCUAUGGAUAUCAGUCAUCCUUUUCCAUAAAAUGUUAAGUGCAUCUGUUUUUAUCAUAAUCAUAUCCGUUGUCUUCUUGAUAAGUUUUUAAUGAAGUUUGUUUCUUCUUGCAGGAGCUUGGGAAGGGGUGGACUGCAGAGCAACUAGCUUCCUGUGUUGGACUCGGCUCUGAUGAAAAAAGGAGUAGCUCUACUUCUCAUCUUUGUAGUCGUCAAAAUCCUGGUCUUUGAGGAUUCUGUGUGUCAUUUCAUACUAAAGCCAUCAAUGAAGAACUAUUGCCAAAUCUUUAUGAUGCUCUACACUUGUUGGUACCUGAUAAAAUUGGGGUUGGACUUGCUUUGUCUAAUUCUGAAGAACACGAUAUCAUCAUGAUACCAGGAUGUGUGGUUAGUUAUUCUCUUCUUUGUACAUACAUUUAGACAUAAUUUUUUGUUUAGUUGUAGGAAGUGGAAUACAUACAACAUUAUAUUAUUUUUAUCUCCUUGGAAUUCUUCUACUUGUUGCACUAAACCUGUAACCCUUUUCUUGGCUGUGAAUUCAGGAAAGACUUUCUGUUUGAGUCAGAUUGCAGAGCUGCUGUGUACCAAUCCCGUUGCGUUUGAGGCUAUUGAGAUAAUUCAGCAUAUUCUCGUGUUACUCUUAGUCAAUUUGAAGGCCUCUCUAAGCAUUUAGAUUCGUUCUUGCAAAUGUUAUCUCUCGUGGAACUAAGGUGUUUUCUGUGAUAGUUCCUAGUGCAUAAAUAGACUUGAAAGUACUUAGUCGAUCUGAAGGUCGAGGGUGGUAGUGGGCGACUGAGUUCUUAACUUAAAAGAUGAGGGGGACACGGUGGAAAACUGAAGGCAAAAGUCUAUUUAUUUAUUUUUGAGCUUGCUUUGUGAUCUUCUGUUUCUUGGUUGUUGCGCCUCUAUUUUUCCUACUUAUUUAAUUCAUUAUUUGCUGCAUUUUGCAGCUUUAUAAUUGAUCUGUUACAUAUAUUAUAUUUUUGUUUGUUAUACUGUGCCUGACGUUUUUCUACUUUUUCUAAUCCACUUUUUGCUACCUUGCAGCAUAAUUUUCUACUUUUUCUAAUCCACUUUUUGCUACCUUGCACCAUAAUUAAUUCAUACAUACAUAGAUAGCAUCCUAUUUUUCUUUGUCUCAUAUGCCCUAUACAAAUAUGUGCUAUAUAAGUGUUUCUUUGAUAUGUAAACCCCAUUGAUUGUCAAGUCUUGGAUUCUUAAUAUAUCUGUUAAAUGUUUUUAUAGGCUCUUUCCCAGUUACUUACUACACACAUUUCCUUUUUACUUUGGCAUUCAAUUUGCAGGACUUGCAUCUAAAAAAGAAAUCGUGGGCCUUGGAAACUGGUUGAGCACUCAAUUAGUGUCAAGUAAAGAUACUUUAUAUGAGGAAUGAAAAUUGCAGCUUGUUGCCACUAUGUAGUAAAUACUUUAACUACAAUAGAUGGAAUCUAGACUACUUCGAUCUCUGUAUAUUUGAGUUUGUUUUCUUUACCUGUCCAUUUGAUGAUUAUGAUUGAUACAACAGAAUUGGGGAAGCUUGCAAAUUCAAGAGUUUGUUCCUUCCUAGGUUAUUAGUUAAUGUUAUUAUUUUGAAUUUUAGUCUAACCUUGGAUUUAUGACAUUCCCAUGUUUUCCUCCGAGAGUAAGGUAUUAGAGCAGUUUCUGGACCGUCUCAUUGAGUAGUACUGCUCCAGUUUAGUUUUGACCACCUCACUAUUUAUUCCAGCGAGUUGAAGGGUAUAAAGCUGCAAUUAAUAUUUGCUUCAAUAUUCAAACUUUUAUUUAUUAAACCUAACUUUAGUUCGAUAUUAAGUGUGUCAUUUCAUACUAAAGCCAUCAAUGAAGAACUUCUGCAUAAUCAGUCUGAUGCUCUACACUUGUCUGUACCUGAUAAAAUUGAAGUUGGUCUAGCUUUGUCUAAUUCUGAAGAACACGAUACCAGGAUGUGUGGAAAGCAAUUCUUUUUGGGUCAGAUUUCAGAGCUGUGUGCCAAUCCUGUUGCACUUCCUGUUGCACUUGAGGCUACUGAGAUAAUUCAGCAUAUUCUUUUUGAAGUGAUCUGUUUGGUCAAGUUCCUCAACAAUUUAUUUUGACCUAACAUCUCUUAUAUGCCAGUUGGGUAGUUUUAUACUUAGUCUACUGUGUUUGAGUUUUUUAUCUUUACCUAUCCGUUUGAUGUUUAUGAUUGAUAAAUCAAAUUAUUGGUUUACUGUGUGAACAUGAUCCCAGAUAAAUAAUGUCAUAAAAUACUCUUCAACCUAACUAUGUUAAUUGUAAUGUUACCCUGUUGUAAAAUUUUCAGCUUGCCUAUAAUGUUUAUCCUUUGUAAAUGCUUCUACUUUAGAUCAGUCAUAAAGCAUCAACGCGUGACUCACCUUACGUUGGGUAUUGCUUUACGAGCUGUUUUAGAUGCUUUGUGGAAGCCUGCAGAUUCGGAAGUUUGUUCCUUCCUAGGUUAUCAGUGAAUGUUAUUAUUGUGAAUUACAGUCUGACUUGGAUUUAUGACAUUAUGAUGUUUUCAUUUGGGAGUAAGGCAUUGGAGCAGUUUGUGGACCGUCUUAUUGAGUGGCCACAGUACUGCCAUCAUAUCCUACACUUUGCAGCAUUUAUAGAGAGGGAUCUUAACCGUAUUUCAGCGGCUUAUACUUAACCUGAUGUUGGCUGCCAUAGUGCCAAUGCUGAUCAUCGACGCGGUCAUUUUGGUUUCAGAUUGCAGGCCCAUCAUUUUCUCUGAUCGGACCUGGCAGCAUCUCGUGUGGAUUAGCAAUUCCCCUCUUCGAUCUCACUACAACAGAGACCACCAAGUUCUCUAGAUGAGAGUUGACUCCUAAUUACAUGAAGCCAUCACAACACACCUACCCUUCCU